CUGAAUAUGGCAGCAACCCUCCUUCUGAGCCACCAUCUCCCAUUUAUAAGCCUCCAACUCACAAAACACCCUCCUUUUACAACCCACCAAUUGGGAAAACCCCACUCAACAAUGCACCAUUUCAGAAACCCCCACUUUUUAACACCCCUAUUCAAAAAUCACCAUUUUACACUUCACCAUUUCAGAAACCCCCACCUUUUGUGCCACCAUUUUACAUGCCACCCUUUGAGAAACCACCACUUCAGAUGCCACCCUUGGAGAAACCACCACUUUUUGUGCCACCCCUUUCUGUGCCACCCUUUGAGAAACCACCACUUUUUGUGUCACCCCUUUCUGUGCCACC
RNAcentral lists this long non-coding RNA (343 nucleotides) under Phaseolus vulgaris (common bean). RNAcentral describes it as "long non-coding RNA (PVUL_LNC001298)". Lineage: Eukaryota; Viridiplantae; Streptophyta; Magnoliopsida; Fabales; Fabaceae. The record is from RNAcentral.